This 2769-nucleotide ribosomal RNA is filed under the name human gut metagenome. Its description in RNAcentral is "bacterial LSU rRNA". It matches the Rfam family "Bacterial large subunit ribosomal RNA". The record is from RNAcentral.
AGAGCGUAGGGAGGAUACCUAGGCACCAAGAGCCGAAGAAGGACGUGAUAAGCUGCGAAAAGCUAUGGUAAGGAGCAAAUAUCCUAUGACCCAUAGAUAUCCGAAUGAGGGAACUCAUCCACAGAAAAAAGUGUGGAUAUCCAUAUAUGAGUAAAGUAGUAUAUAGGAAGGGAACGCAAGGAACUGAAACAUCUUAGUACUUGUAGGAAGAGAAAGAAAAAUCGAUUCUGUGAGUAGUGGCGAGCGAAAGCGGAAGAGCCCAAACCAAUGUUGCUUGCAACGUUGGGGUUCGGACUACAUAAUCCAUUUAUCGAGCGAAUAAGAAUUGUUUGGGAAGGCAAAUCAUAGAAGGUGAAAAUCCUGUAUUAGAAGUGAGAUAGAGGAGGUAGUAUCCAGAGUAGUGCGAGGCACGUGAAACCUCGUAUGAAAGAGCGGGGACCACCCCGUAAGGCUAAAUACUACUUGGUGACCGAUAGAGAUUAGUACCGUGAGGGAAAGGUGAAAAGAACCCCGGGAGGGGAGUGAAAUAGAACAUGAAACCCUAUGCUUACAAACAGACAAAGCACGUUAAGGUGUGAUGUCGUACUUUUUGUAGAACGGUCCAGCGAGUUAUUGUAUAUGGCAAGGUUAAGCACUAUGUAAGGUGUGAAGCCGAAGCGAAAGCGAGUCUGAAAAGGGCGAAUUAAGUCAUAUGUAAUAGACCCGAAACCGGGUGACCUAACCAUGGUCAGGAUGAAGCUUGAGUAAAAUCAAGUGGAGGUCCGAACUGAUAAGCGUUAAAAAGCUUCCGGAUGAACUGUGGUUAGCGGAGAAAUUCCAAUCGAACUCGGAGAUAGCUGGUUCUCCUCGAAAUAGCUUUAGGGCUAGCCUUGAUGUAAAGAUAUAUGGGGGUAGAGCACUGAAGGUGCUAGGGGCCUAAACCAGGUUACUGAACACUAUCAAACUCCGAAUACCAUAUAUUAGUAGUCAGGAGUCAGACUGCGGGAGCUAAGUUCCGUGGUCAAAAGGGAAAGAGCCCAGAUCGUCAAUUAAGGUCCCAAAGAUAUAGCUAAGUGGGAAACGAUGUGAAAUUGCGUAAACAACCAGGAUGUUGGCUUAGAAGCAGCCAUACAUUUAAAGAGUGCGUAAUAGCUCACUGGUCGAGUGAAUUUGCGCGGAAAAUUACCGGGGCUAAGCUAUACACCGAAAUUGCGGGUUCAUAAGUAAUUAUGAGCGGUAGAGGAGCAUUCUGUAGUAGGGUGAAGUAUGAUCGAAAGGACAUAUGGACGAGGCAGAAGAGAGAAUGCUGGAAUAAGUAGCGAGAGCAAAGUGAGAAUCUUUGCCGUCGAAAGUCUAAGGUUUCCUGGGGAAGGUUCGUCCGCCCAGGGUAAGUCGGGACCUAAGGUGAGGCCAAGGAGGCGUAGCCGAUGGAUAGCAGGUAUAAAAUUCCUGCACUACCGAAAUACUUAAAAACGAUAAGGGACGCAGGAGAGGAAGGAAAUCCGGGAAGAGGAAAAACCGGAGCCGAAAGGCAUAGUGAAAAUUUAAAGUAACGAAGUUCCAAGAAUCACACUGACGAGAAAAGCUUAUUGACAUUGUAUUAAGGUACCCGUACCGCAAACCGACACAGGUAGAUGAGGAGAGGAUCCUAAGACGAGCGAGAGAAGUACUGUUAAGGAACUCGGCAAACUAACCCCGUAACUUAGGGAGAAGGGGUACCUAUGUAAAAGUAGGUCGCAGAGAAGAGUCCCAAGCAACUGUUUAACAAAAACACAGGUUUCUGCUAAAUCGAAAGAUGAAGUAUAGGAGCUGACGCCUGCCCAGUGCUGGAAGGUUAAGGGGAAAUGUUAGAGUAAUCGAAGCAUAGAACUAAAGCCCCAGUGAACGGCGGCCGUAACUAUAACGGUCCUAAGGUAGCGAAAUUCCUUGUCAGGUAAGUUCUGACCCGCACGAAAGGCGUAAUGAUUUGGGCACUGUCUCGACAAUGUACCCGGCGAAAUUGUAGUACUAGUGAAGAUGCUAGUUACCUGCGACAAGACAGAAAGACCCCAUGGAGCUUUACUGUAGCUUGAUAUUGGGUUUCGGUAAUUUAUGUACAGGAUAGGUGGGAGACUAUGAAGCAAGAGCGUCAGCUUUUGUGGAGUCACCCUUGGGAUACCACCCUUAAAUUAUUGGAAUUCUAACCUGUGAUCACGAACUGGUCAGGGGACAAUGUCAGGCGGGCAGUUUGACUGGGGCGGUCGCCUCCUAAAGAGUAACGGAGGCGCCCAAAGGUUUCCUCAACCCGGACAGAAAUCGGGUGAAAGAGUGCAAAGGCAGAAGGAAGCUUAACUGAAAGACAGACAUGUCGAGCAGAUACGAAAGUAGGGCUUAGUGAUCCGGUGGUAUGUGAGUGGAAAUGCCAUCGCUCAACGGACAAAAGUUACCCUGGGGAUAACAGGCUUAUCUCUCCCAAGAGUUCACAUCGACGGGGAGGUUUGGCACCUCGAUGUCGGCUCAUCGCAUCCUGGAGCUGAAGUCGGUUCCAAGGGUUGGGCUGUUCGCCCAUUAAAGCGGUACGCGAGCUGGGUUCAGAACGUCGUGAGACAGUUCGGUCCUUAUCUGUCGCAGGCGCAGGAUAUUUGAAGGGAGUUGUCCUUAGUACGAGAGGACCAGGAUGAACAUACCGAUGGUGCAACAGUUGUCACACCAGUGGCAUAGCUGUGUAGCUAAGUAUGGAAGGGAUAAACGCUGAAAGCAUCUAAGUGUGAAGCCCACCCUAAGAUAAGAUAUCCCACAACGUUAAGUUGG